CAGUACAUAUCAGAAUGUUACCCCAGUACACAUCAGAAUGUUACUGCAGUACAUACCAGAAUGUUACUGCAGUACAUAUCAGAAUGUUACUGACAGUACAUAUCAGAAUGUUACUGACAGUACAUAUCAGAAUGUUACUGACAGUACAUAUCAGAAUGUUACUGCAGUACAUAUCAGAAUGUUACUGACAGUACAUAUCAGAAUGUUACUGACAGUACAUAUCAGAAUGUUACUGACAGUACAUAUCAGAAUGUUACUGACAUACAUAUCAGAAUGUUACUGCAGUACAUAUCAGAAUGUUCCUUCUGUGUCUGAUAGGAUUAUAACAUGCUGUUACUGCAGUACAUAUCAGAAUGUUACUGCAGUACAUAUCAGAAUGUUACUGCAGUACAUAUCAGAAUGUUACUGCAGUACAUAUCAGAAUGUUACUGCAGUACAUAUCAGAAUGUUACUGCAGUACAUAUCAGAAUGUUACUGCAGUACAUAUCAGAAUGUUACUGACAGUACAUAUCAGAAUGUUACUGCAGUACAUAUCAGAAUGUUACUGCAGUACAUAUCAGAAUGUUACUGCAGUACAUAUCAGAAUGUUACUGCAGUACAUAUCAGAAUGUUACUGCAGUACAUAUCAGAAUGUUACUGACAGUACAUAUCAGAAUGUUACUGCAGUACAUAUCAGAAUGUUACUGCAGUACAUAUCAGAAUGUUACUGCAGUACAUAUCAGAAUGUUACUGCAGUACAUAUCAGAAUGUUACUGCAGUACAUAUCAGAAUGUUCCUUCUGUGUCUGAUAGGAUUAUAACAUGCUGUUACUGCAGUACAUGUCAGAAUGUCACUGCAGUACAUGUCAGAAUGUUACUGCAGUACAUAUCAGAAUGUUACUGCAGUACAUAUCAGAAUGUUACUGCAGUACAUAUCAGAAUGUUACUGCAGUACAUAUCAGAAUGUUACUGCAGUACAUAUCAGAAUGUUACUGCAGUACAUAUCAGAAUGUUACUGCAGUACAUAUCAGAAUGUUACUGCAGUACAUAUCAGAAUGUUACUGCAGUACAUAUCAGAAUGUUACUGACAGUACAACAGUUUCCACUAGAAAUUGGAGGCCACUCAGGGACAAUCUAAACUUGAUGAGUAAUGCUGU
Molecule: long non-coding RNA, 1135 nt
Organism: Oncorhynchus tshawytscha (Chinook salmon)
Lineage: Eukaryota; Metazoa; Chordata; Actinopteri; Salmoniformes; Salmonidae
Source: Ensembl